This 967-nucleotide long non-coding RNA is filed under the name Marmota monax (woodchuck). Lineage: Eukaryota; Metazoa; Chordata; Mammalia; Rodentia; Sciuridae. The record is from RNAcentral.
AGCCAGGGCAGAGUCGGCCUGCAGGCCCCAGCAGUGUUGGGGUCCACCUUCAGCCUUUGCAGGCCACUCUUGGAUUCCCAGACCCUGGGGACCCAGCAGAGCUCCCGAGGACACCAGUCACCAGGCCACUUGGGGACUCCAAAAUCAAAUGUGUUUAAGGCUGAGCUGAAGGCAGCCCUGGGGGGGCCUCGGUGGAGGCCUCUCACAGAAAAUGUCACAGCAGCAGGUGACUGGUGCCCACGGUGCUGUCCACCUGGGCAGCCAGAGCUUAGGCUGUCUGAAAGGCCCUGGGCAGGCCCGGUCACCUCCAUCCAGAAUGACUGAGGAUGGACAAGGAUGAAGGGCACCCUUGGUCUGCAUGCCUGGGGCCCUUGCAUGGGGCCAGGCCACUCUCAGGAGGACAGAGGAAGGUGAGAACAGCACUUUAGAUGACCUUCUCCUGGAGCAGUGUGUUCAGAGGCUCAGCGGUAAAAUUACUGAGGACGCUCGCGGCACAUCCCCAUCAGCCCUCUUCCCACAGGAAGUCCACGAUGUCUCCUCGCUACAUCAGGGAAGUGGAGAGUGUCUCUCCUUAAGUAGAUCGGGGGCAAGGCGUGGCCAGAGGGCAGGCGGCCCCUGCACGUGGAGCUGUGGGGGAGCCAUGUGCGCACACACACACACACACACACCUGGGCCCUCCUCCCAGCCAGGUGCACAGCCAGCUAGUGCAAGGCAGCAUCCCCUGGGGUGUGCAGCUGGGGACGAUGGCCCCAUUGGUCCUGCAGCUGGACAUUCUAGAGCUGUCCGGGGGCCUUGAAUCUCCAAGUCCCAAGUUCCCAGGGGUCUGGUCUAGAGAGGGCUAGUUGCCAUUCCACACAGAGGGCAGCAGGUGACUGAAGCGUCCACACCUGCCUUGGAGUCCUCUGUCCAGGGUCCAGCUGGGCACCACUGGGUGAGGAGAUGGGAUCACACACCAGGGAAGAACCGG